UGAAUACGAGAUGCUACGGCGUCGAAGCAGUCUAUGUCAUACUUCCAAGAAAAGCUUGCACUGUCAUAAACAAAUAAUGCCUGUACCAUAACCGACACAGGUGGGUAGGUAGAGUAUACUAAGGGGCGCGAGAUAACUCUCUCUAAGGAACUCGGCAAAAUGACUCCGUAACUUCGGGAGAAGGAGUGCCUUAUUUAUAAGGUUGCAAUAACAAGAUCCAAGCAACUGUUUACCAAAAACACAGGUCUCCGCUAAGUCGUAAGACGAUGUAUGGGGGCUGACGCCUGCCCAGUGCCAGAAGGUUAAAGAAGUUGGUUAGCAUCCGCGAAGCUGAUAACUGAAGCCCUGGUGAACGGCGGCCGUAACUAUAACGGUCCUAAGGUAGCGAAAUUCCUUGUCGGGUAAGUUCCGACCCGCACGAAAGGCGUAAUGAUUUGGAUACUGUCUCGGAGAGGGGCUCGGUGAAAUAGACUUGUCUGUGAAGAUGCGGACUACCUGCACCAGGACAGAAAGACCCUAUGAAGCUUUACUGUAACCUGAAAUUGAAAUUGGACUUUACUUGCGCAGUAUAGGUGGGAGGCGUUGAGAAUAUUCUUGCGGGAUUAUUGGAGCCAUCAGUGAGAUACCACUCUUGUAAUGUUAGAUUUCUAACUUUGUAUCAUUAUCUGGUCAAAGAACAGUUUCAGGCGGGCAGUUUGACUGGGGCGGUCGCCUCCUAAACGGUAACGGAGGCGCACAAAGGUUUCCUCUGAACGGGUAGAAAUCGUAUCUAGAGUGUAAAGGCAUAAGGAAGCUUGACUGUGAGACCUACAAGUCGAGCAGGGACGAAAGUCGGUCUUAGUGAUCUGACGGUGCUGAGUGGAAAGGCCGUCACUCAACGGAUAAAAGUUACUCUAAGGAUAACAGGCUGAUCUCCCCCAAGAGUUCACAUCGACGGGGAGGUUUGGCACCUCGAUGUCGGCUCAUCGCAUCCUGGGGCGGUAGUACGUCCCAAGGGUUGGGCUGUUCGCCCAUGAAAGCGGUACGCGAGCUGGGUUCAGAACGUCGUGAGACAGUUCGGUCCAUAUCCGGUGUAGGCGUUAGAAUAUUGAGAGGAGCCUUCUUUAGUACGAGAGGACCGAGAAGGACAUACCUCUGGUGUACCAGUUAUCGUGCCAACGGUAAACGCUGGGUAGCUAUGUGUGGAGAGGAUAACCGCUGAAAGCAUCUAAGUGGGAAGCCCACCUCAAGAUAAG
This 1235-nucleotide ribosomal RNA is filed under the name metagenome. RNAcentral's name for it is "bacterial LSU rRNA". It matches the Rfam family "Bacterial large subunit ribosomal RNA", at positions 1564 to 2808 of the family's 2925-position model. The record is from RNAcentral.